RNAcentral lists this unclassified non-coding RNA (247 nucleotides) under uncultured Actinomycetes bacterium. RNAcentral's name for it is "uncultured actinobacterium contains 16S-23S intergenic spacer region". The record is from RNAcentral. Lineage: Bacteria; Bacillati; Actinomycetota; Actinomycetes.
UGGGCUUGACAUGCACUAGAAAGCCGUAUCUCUACGGCUUUCUAGUGCAUGUCAAGCCCAGGUAAGGUUCUUCGCGUUGCAUCGAAUUAAUCCACAUGCUCCGCCGCUUGUGCGGGCCCCCGUCAAUUCCUUUGAGUUUUAGCCUUGCGGCCGUACUCCCCAGGCGGGGCGCUUAAUGCGUUAGCUACGGCACGGACAACGUGGAUGUCGCCCACACCUAGCGCCCAACGUUUACAGCGUGGACUAC